This is an RNA transcript of Myotis myotis, 6144 nucleotides long. It is a transcript of the gene named F-box and leucine rich repeat protein 20, with no coding region annotated. The transcript has 17 exons. The record is from RefSeq and is a predicted model, not a curated record. NCBI's taxonomy places the organism in Eukaryota, Metazoa, Chordata, Mammalia, Chiroptera, Vespertilionidae.
UGUGGAAGAGCCACACUCAAGGGGCCAAAGAGCCGCAUGUGGCUCGCGCGCCGCGGUUUGCCGACCACUGGUAUAGACUGAAGCAAGGAAAACAAUCAGCAACUAUGUUCUCAAAUAGUGAUGAAGCUGUAAUCAAUAAAAAGCUUCCCAAAGAACUCCUAUUACGGAUAUUUUCUUUUCUGGAUGUUGUUACCUUGUGUCGCUGUGCUCAGGUCUCCAGGGCCUGGAAUGUUCUGGCUCUGGAUGGCAGUAACUGGCAGCGAAUUGACCUGUUCGAUUUCCAGAGGGAUAUUGAGGGCCGAGUAGUGGAGAAUAUUUCAAAAAGAUGUGGGGGCUUUUUACGAAAGUUAAGUCUUCGUGGGUGUCUUGGAGUAGGAGACAAUGCAUUAAGGACGUUUGCACAAAACUGUAGGAACAUUGAAGUACUAAAUUUAAAUGGGUGCACAAAGACUACAGACGCUACAUGUACUAGCCUUAGCAAGUUCUGUUCCAAACUCAGGCACCUUGACUUGGCUUCCUGUACAUCAAUAACAAACAUGUCUCUAAAAGCUCUGAGUGAGGGAUGUCCACUGUUGGAGCAAUUGAACAUUUCCUGGUGUGACCAAGUAACCAAGGAUGGCAUCCAAGCACUAGUGAGAGGCUGUGGGGGUCUCAAAGCCUUAUUCUUAAAAGGCUGCACACAGCUAGAAGAUGAAGCUCUCAAGUACAUAGGUGCACACUGUCCUGAGCUGGUGACUUUGAACUUGCAGACCUGCUUGCAAAUCACAGAUGAAGGUCUCAUUACUAUAUGUAGAGGGUGCCAUAAGUUACAGUCCCUCUGUGCCUCCGGCUGCUCCAACAUCACGGAUGCCAUCCUGAAUGCUCUGGGUCAGAACUGCCCACGGCUUAGAAUAUUAGAAGUGGCAAGGUGUUCUCAAUUAACAGAUGUAGGCUUUACCACUCUGGCCAGGAAUUGCCAUGAGCUUGAAAAGAUGGACCUGGAAGAGUGUGUUCAAAUAACAGAUAGCACCUUAAUCCAACUUUCUAUACACUGUCCUCGACUUCAAGUAUUGAGUCUAUCUCACUGUGAGCUGAUCACAGACGAUGGAAUUCGUCACCUGGGGAAUGGGGCCUGCGCUCAUGACCAGCUGGAGGUGAUUGAACUGGACAACUGCCCACUAAUCACAGACGCAUCCCUGGAGCACUUGAAGAGCUGUCACAGCCUUGAGCGGAUAGAACUCUAUGACUGCCAGCAAAUCUCACGGGCUGGAAUCAAGAGACUCAGGACCCAUUUACCCAAUAUUAAAGUCCACGCCUACUUCGCACCUGUCACUCCACCCCCAUCAGUCGGGGGCAGCAGACAGCGCUUCUGCAGAUGCUGCAUCAUCCUAUGACAGUGGAGGUGGCAGCCGUGGCGAACUGAGUAUUUAAUGACACUUCUAGAGUUACCGCGGAGUCACCAGUGGAAGCGACCCAGUGUUCUGGGCAAGGGUUACAACGUGAGGCAGUGUCCAGAUUCCCAGAGCCACACGUACAUAUACAUACCCAUCCACUCUAGCUCUGUGACGGGGGACUGAAGAUUGUGCUGGCUUUAUCAAGUGGAUUGAUAAAACUUAGCCAUUCCUGUUGGACGUUCCCAGAAGAAAAUCAUAGGCAAGUCCAUUGCCCUUACCUCGCCUAGGAAGGAGUGAAGAUGGUUAAACACAAGCUCCCAAGUCAUUGCCUGACCUCCACCCAAAUGACCUGAACGACCUGCUGUCUCAUCUUGCUUUAGAGCUGUAAAGGUUAAAAGAGCAGGGCGUCCCUGAGCUUAGGUCAGCACCAGGUAGUAGCCAUCUGGAUUCUGCACUGAAAGCGGUAAAAAGGGCACCACUGGGGUGAGGCUGGCCCCCAACCACCACGAGGAUGCACUCCCAACAACGAGCGGCCUGCAGCGCACCUGCACACCCCAGUCGUCUUCCCCUCGCCGCCAAUCCACCUUUUCAGGAAGCCUCCCUGUGCACUGGAGCAUCACGGGAGGGGCCGGGCAGGCAUCCAGAGAACCAGGCCUACCAGCUGACUGGUCAGCAAGCACCUGCCCUUCCGCUUGAUUGUUGCAGUUUGUGGGGGUUAGGGAAGGGGGGGGGGGGCUUACCUUCCAUGGUAAUACACUUACGAGAAUGCAUUUAUUCAGUCACGUUUUUCCUGAGCAAUAAAUAGCUGUCUUUUUGCUAUACGAUCUCUGUCUCUGACACAAAGCUAGUGUCUCCCUCUAAAACUCCUACCUUUUUUCACCACGGCCACAAAGUACGAUUCAUCCUUAAGAUUCUGAACCACCUGCAAGGGAGAAGGGAUCACUAAGAUAAUUCCGUUCUUAUAGCCCAACGGAAUAAGCCAGGGUAGGUAGGGAGAGGGAAAGGAGUGACCAGGCCUUAGUGGAGCCUUAUAGGGAACCACCGCCCCUUACCUGGUCACUAAGGAGAAUGAGGAUACCCCCAGGGCCCUGAUGGAAGAGGCGGUGGAUCUGAUUGGCUGGGAGGUUCAAGAGCUCUGCCAGUUUUCCCAUCAGUUCAAUGGCGCUGAGUUCAUCCAGAGAAAUCUCUUGAUAAAAACCUGGGAUGUGGGUAGCAGGGGGUCAGUGGGGAGAGAGGUCUAGAGGGAACCCCAGAUACCAGGAGGAUGAGAGGGCAUGGUGACCGCCUCAUGGUGGGUGUGAGGGGAGAGAGUAAAGAAAGAAAAAGGCUUAUAAACCCACUUUGUCUUCGCCUCCUAUUCCUCAACUGAGGGGAGGCCCCAGAUGAAAGAGGAGAUGGGAAAUCUACAUAUGAAGGACCGAAACCCAAGAACAAUAAGAUGAUAAUGUUCUAAUCCCACAUGCUAAUAGAAUGACAAAAUCAGAAGGGGUUAGAGAGCAUGGAGCAAUAAACCCAGGGAGACAUCCUGGAAGGAGAGGACUAGUCUGGUCAUGGAAGGCAGGGGAAUGCAAGGAGGGCAUGCGGGUCCCAGGAAUGGUGGGGCACCACCCUUUCCCCAGGCCAGAAGAGGGUUCGUGCGGCCACACCUUCGUUUCUUCUGGAGAGGCCAGAACCUUACCUGGUUCAGGGAUCUUAGGAACCUCGUUCUCUUGCCUAGAGGCCUCCUGAGCCACAUAUAAAGUCAGCCGGUGACGGAUGGGCCUGGGCCAGGAAAACAGUCUCAGCCCUUCAUAUCUGGACCAUCAGCUCCCGCUUGGAGCCCCCAUCCCUGGGAGAGACCCCGCCCCUCCCAGGUCUCCAGGGAGAGAAAUCGCCACGCAUUUCUUAAGCUUGUAAUGAACGGUAGAUUCUGGGGGAGAGGAGAUAGGAAAAUCUGUCCCCAGAAACUGCGUGAUGCAGAUGGGAUGGUCACAGGAGAGGUCACGGGAGCCUGGUUUUUUAGCCCAGCCCUGCCAGUCUGUAACCUCAGGAAGAUCAGUGUCCUUUUUGGGCCAGAGUUUCUUCCUUUGUAUAAAACGAGGGCGGGGAGUAAGUGGCCUUCAAGCUGCCUCUUGACUUGAACAUUCUGCUGGCUGAAUUGGUAGGUGCCACUACAGAGGGCAGGGGACCCUGUUGGCAGUGCCCAGCACCUGGCUCUAAGAGUAUUGAAAAGGCGGAUCCCGUCGGCAGCCCCGCAGAUCUGGAUAAGGUCCUGCCGGGUAAGCUUCAGCAGAUCGGUGCCUGCAGAGGCAGACAGAGCCAGAUUGGGGAAGAGGCCUGGGAUCGAGGCUGGCAAGGGACACAGUCCAACAUGAGUCUACAAAUAGCCCUAGUAUAUCCGGGUAGACUUCGAGCCACACCCGGCUCUGCCACUUGCUAGCUGUGUGUCCUUCCGCAACGUAUUGAACCCCUCUGAGCCCUGUUCUCAAGGGCGAGUGUGUAAAUUAUAUAGGAUAAUAUGAGAGAAAAAAACCUAGCAAGCAUGGUGCCUGGCAACUCUUAGUCCUAAAUAAAAGUUAGUUGAAGGGAACACAAAAGCCAGGACAGAGGCAGGCUUCCUGCUGAGAGCCCCACCCCCAUUUCCCUACAGCGGGAUCCCUGCAAGACCCCAGCCUCACCUGUGAAAUUGGCUAGUGUCCGGCAGUAGCUGGAGAACCGGUGGCGAUGUAACCACUGCUGCGUCUCCAGGAUGGAGGCUCCAGGGUUCAGAUCCUGAGGCAUGGAGAGGGCAGUCCAGGGAACCCCAUGAGCCCACGGACUGAGAACAGAGGGGAGGAGAAACAACCUCUGCCCCUGGGGGGCCCGAGUCUGAGGGGGAGGCUCAUUCUGCUGGUGGGAAGUGCCGGUCCAUGCAGGGAAGUUUUGUGAUGUAGGGCCAUAGCACAUCUCUCCACCAGGGGGCAGGGCCGCCCUAUUCUGGAGCGAGAGAUGAGGUUGCUGAGGCUUUGGGAGAGUGGACGGGGAUGGGGGCGUGGAAAGGGAAGACUCACCUCAGCUGGGCUGCCCCCCAAAGUGUCCAAGAUGAAUGGUGGUGAGCAGCAGAGCCUGUGGGGGAGCAGAGGGUCAGGGCCUCUUGGAUGCAGUGCAGCCAGUCUCCCACCCUGGGAGGCAGAGCUUGCCAGGUGUCAUCCCAGAUGUUCCCCAGAAGCCGGGCUGAGCCUCUUCCCAGCCUCAGCACACCCCUCAACCCUGCCCCUCCCCCAGGCCUUGGCUGAGGAGCUCUUCACUGGCGCCCCAAAGGGCUGAUGGGAGGCGCGCAUCCCCACUCACCGCUCCGGGGACAGGAGUUUGCAGGAGUGGGGGGAGGUCAGAGCCUGAGGGCUGAGAGGCAGGUGGGGCUCUGCACUGGGCUCUGGCCAUGGUGAACACUGUGGGCAAACAGUAAGGUCAGCAUGGACAGUUGGAGAGCAGUGGCAGCUGUCCCUCACCUCCCUCCAACUGCCUGUUAAGAGCUGACAAGGGCCAGGCCAGUGUGGUUCAGUGGUUGAGUGUGGACCCAUGCACCAGGAGGUCGCCAGUUCGGUCAUUCUGGUCAGGGAUCAGGGCACAUGCCUGGGAGGGCUGUGCAGGAAACAUCUCUCCCUCUCCUUCCUCUCUCUAAUAUCAAUAAAAACACUUUUUUAAAAAUGUUAGCAUCUACAAAAUUAGCUGACAAGCAGAUCUAGUUUCCACACUAAGCAAGAGAGCAAACCAGCCUGCAGGGCUGCCUGGGGGAGUUGGGCAGGCUCCCGGCGGAGCUGGCAGAAGCAGCAGCAGGAACGCAGCUGCUCUGGGCAGAGGGAGCAGCAGUGAGGUGGCAGUGGUGGCAGGCACAGGAGAGGCGGCCUGGAAGGUGGCCGCUUCAGGGGGUCUUGAAGUUUGUCUUUGCAGGAAACAGGGUGGAAUCCCGGGGGGGCUGUGAUCAUCCUGAAGCAGGCACAGCCCUCCAGUCCUCAGUUUCCCAGGUGUAAGUGAGGACCUUUUCUCCAACCCUGCCCCCCAAAACACGCACCUCCACAAAGACCGUGCUCUCACAGGCAGCCUGAUACUUGUCUCUCUCGUGCAGGGGCUGUUUCUCAACCUUCUCCCGGUCGGUUUUCAGUUUCCGGUCAGCUCCUUUGGGCUACAAGAGGGAGACAUGGGAAUCUCAGAGGCCCCCUCCUCUUCUCAUCACAGAAGGGGCUCUAAGAAAGACAUCCAGCCCCAUCCCUCUGUGCACAGAGAAGGAAAGAGACCCAGGGCAGGGACCACAGGCUGAGGAUCCACAGCAAAGCAGGGCCAGGAUCCACACAGCCAGUGAGGCAGGGUGACAAGCCCUGAGAGGGAGGGGAAGGGGCCCGGUGCUGCCUGCACCUUGAACACCUUGAUGAGGCAGCUGGCUGAAUGUAGGUGUUCAGGUGGAAGCCCCUUGUCACUGGGCUUGAAAGUGUCAAUCUGGAGGCGGAAGGGGACGCCUUUCUCUCCACCCUUUUUCCGAGGAGUGAACUCAGUGCUGAUGCAGUGAACCUGAGGCGGAGAAGAAGCAAAGAGGAAGCAGUGUGACUCCCGGCCCCACCUACCUUCCAGGGGGAUUGCACCUAAAACCUGUGGCCUGCCUGUCACCUGUCAGCAGCGUCUAUUCUUCAAGUGUAACUUUAUUAGGUUCUUUCCCUAUGUUGUACUUUACUUCCCCAUGAUAUAUAGGACAUUUUAAUUAGCAUUUUAUGAGGUUGACCUGUCUACAUUUAGUAUCCUUAUAAAUUGUCUACUUAUA